CUCGUAGGUGGCUUUGUAAGUCAGGUGUGAAAGCCCACGGCUCAACCGUGGAAUUGCACUUGAUACUGCAUCGCUAGAGUAUAGGAGAGGGAAGUGGAAUUUCUGGUGUAGGAGUGAAAUCCGUAGAGAUCAGAAGGAACACCCGUGGCGAAGGCGACUUCCUGGACUAUUACUGACACUGAGGAGCGAAAGCGUGGGGAGCAAACA
This 207-nucleotide ribosomal RNA is filed under the name uncultured bacterium. Its description in RNAcentral is "partial 16S ribosomal RNA". It matches the Rfam family "Bacterial small subunit ribosomal RNA", at positions 568 to 774 of the family's 1533-position model. The record is from RNAcentral.